UGAUAAUUAGUUUAAACCAAAACAAAUGAUUUCGACUCAUUAGAU
RNAcentral lists this transfer RNA (45 nucleotides) under Ursus spelaeus (cave bear). RNAcentral's name for it is "partial tRNA-Arg". Lineage: Eukaryota; Metazoa; Chordata; Mammalia; Carnivora; Ursidae. The record is from RNAcentral.